Molecule: ribosomal RNA, 465 nt
Filed under: uncultured bacterium
Lineage: Bacteria
Description: partial 16S ribosomal RNA
Rfam family: Bacterial small subunit ribosomal RNA
Source: RNAcentral
CCUACGGGUGGCAGCAGUAGGGAAUCUUCCACAAUGGGCGAAAGCCUGACGGAGCAACGCCGCGUGGGUGAAGAAGGUCUUCGGAUCGUAAACCUCUGUUGUCAGAGAAGAACGUGCGCGAGAGUAACUGUUCACGUUUCGACGGUAUCUGACCAGAAAGCACCGGCUAACUACGUGCCAGCAGCCGCGGUAAUACGGAGGUUGCAAGCGUUAUCCGGAUUUAUUGGGCGUAAAGGGAACGCAGGCGGUCUGUUAAGUCUGAUGUGAAAGCCUUCGGCUUAACCGGAGUAGUGCAUUGGAAACUGGGAGACUGGAGUGCAGAAGAGGAGAGUGGAACUCCAGGUGUAGGGGUGAAAUGCGUAGAUAUAUGGAAGAACACCAGUGGCGAAAGCGGCUAUCUGGUCUGUAACUGACGCUGAGGUGCGAAAGCGUGGGUAGCAAACAGGAUUAGAUACCCGAGUAGUC